This 899-nucleotide long non-coding RNA is filed under the name Ananas comosus (pineapple). RNAcentral's name for it is "long non-coding RNA (ACOM_LNC017950)". Lineage: Eukaryota; Viridiplantae; Streptophyta; Magnoliopsida; Poales; Bromeliaceae. The record is from RNAcentral.
UUUGCCUUUUUUUUAGAUUAAAUUAUAAAAACUCUCUCAUAAAUAUUUUUUUUUUUUAAAUGUUUCCUCCCUUACACCUCAACAUUUUAAUUAUUACAUUUAACCUCCCCUCUAUCAGGAUUUCAUCACUAUUCCAUUCAUUUCUUAUAAUUUACUAGUUAACGAAACCGCGGGGUGCUGCGGGUAGUUAUUUUAAAAUUUAAUUUUAAAAAUUAGUUAUAAAAAUCAAUUUCAAAAUAAUUAUGAAAUAUUACGGACAAAUUACAAAAUAAUUUUAAAUAAAUAUAGUUAUCUUCCCUAAUAUAGAAAAUAUAAUGUGCUCUCUCAACAAUAAGAUAUUUUAAAAUAGUUCUUCAAUUUUAUUAAAUAUUUUCUUACCUUGUUCUCUUUUGUUUGAUUUGAUAUUACUAAUUUUGUAAGGUUAUCUAUCAUAUUUCUAAUAUUUUCAGGGAUAUGAAUAAAAUUAUUCCAUACUAAUUAUUCUAAACAUGACCGCAUGUCUAAGGGGCUGAAAAAUAAUAAAUGGUGCAAUAAGUACAUCAAAAAUUUUUAGUAGGCAUGAUAGGCCACCAUUAGUUAGUGAAAAAUUUUUAGUAGGUAUCGUAGUCCCCCAGUAGUUAGUGAAUAAGAAGAGAAAUCAUUGCUUGUGAUUCUCGCAAUUAACUUUCGUCAAAUAUAAAAUUAACUUAAGCUGCAUCUUUUUUUAUUUUUUAUUUUUUAAUAUACAAUUUAUAUGUGAAUGCUCAAUAUUAUAAAAUUAACAUUUAUAUCUAAUGUCAAUAGUCUAAAUUAUUUAACAUUUAUUUAUAUAUUUUAUAUUUUAUAAAAAUAAAUAGUAAAUUAUAUAAUAAAUUAUUAUAUAAUAAUAUAUCUAUAUAAAAAUAAAAUACUAUAUAUAA